RNAcentral lists this non-coding RNA (23 nucleotides) under Gallus gallus (chicken). The record is from RNAcentral. RNAcentral also lists the same sequence under 1 other name. Lineage: Eukaryota; Metazoa; Chordata; Aves; Galliformes; Phasianidae.
UAAGUGCUUCCAUGUUUUAGUGG